This 467-nucleotide ribosomal RNA is filed under the name uncultured bacterium. RNAcentral describes it as "partial 16S ribosomal RNA". It matches the Rfam family "Bacterial small subunit ribosomal RNA", at positions 28 to 507 of the family's 1533-position model. The record is from RNAcentral.
GACGAACGCUGGCGGCGUGCUUAACACAUGCAAGUCGAACGGAAAGGCCCUGCUUUUGUGGGGUGCUCGAGUGGCGAACGGGUGAGUAACACGUGAGUAACCUGCCCUUGACUUUGGGAUAACUUCAGGAAACUGGGGCUAAUACCGGAUAGGAGCUCCUGCUGCAUGGUGGGGGUUGGAAAGUUUCGGCGGUUGGGGAUGGACUCGCGGCUUAUCAGCUUGUUGGUGGGGUAGUGGCUUACCAAGGCUUUGACGGGUAGCCGGCCUGAGAGGGUGACCGGCCACAUUGGGACUGAGAUACGGCCCAGACUCCUACGGGAGGCAGCAGUGGGGAAUAUUGCACAAUGGGCGAAGCCUGAUGCAGCAACGCCGCGUGCGGGAUGACGGCCUUCGGGUUGUAAACCGCUUUCGCCUGUGACGAAGCGUGAGUGACGGUAAUGGGUAAAGAAGCACCGGCUAACUACGUG